This 329-nucleotide long non-coding RNA is filed under the name Lepisosteus oculatus (spotted gar). Its description in RNAcentral is "lncRNA (ENSLOCG00000022904.1)". The record is from RNAcentral. Lineage: Eukaryota; Metazoa; Chordata; Actinopteri; Semionotiformes; Lepisosteidae.
GGACUCUGCUGUUGAUAGGCAGGCAGAAAUGAAGCUGUAAAUGUGAAGAGCUGUCCCCCAGGUUACACGUCUUACAUUCUGGUUUCCAAUCCCCAUAUCCAGGAAGAAGAUCUAAAUAUGAAGCAGGAAAUUCUGAUGAAGGAGGUAGAGAAGAAAAGAAAGUCUCUGACACUCGUAACUGGUCCUUCCACACAGGAGCUUGAAGAGUGCGGGCUGAGACACCACAAGCUGAUGGAGGCCCUGGAGCAGGAGAAGGAGAAGCUGGCGCAGGAGGUGGCUCGCGUGCAGCAGGCCCGCGUCUCCAGAGAGGAGGAGCGGAGGAGAGCACG